CAGGCCUAACACAUGCAAGUCGAACGAGGUUUGGUCAGUUUGCGGUGGUGCUUGCAUCACCAAUUACCGAUCAAACCGAGUGGCGGACGGGUGAGUAACACGUGGGUAACCUGCUCUUCAGCAGGGGAUAACAUUUGGAAACAGAUGCUAAUACCGUAUAACCACGGAGACCGCAUGGUCUCCGGGUAAAAGAUGGCGCAAGCUAUCACUGAAGGAUGGACCCGCGGCGUAUUAGCCAGUUGGUGGGGUAACGGCCUACCAAAGCGAUGAUACGUAGCCGACCUGAGAGGGUAAUCGGCCACAUUGGGACUGAGACACGGCCCAGACUCCUACGGGAGGCAGCAGUGGGGAAUAUUGGACAAUGGGCGAAAGCCUGAUCCAGCAAUGCCGCGUGAGUGAUGAAGGCCUUAGGGUUGUAAAGCUCUUUUACCCGGGAUGAUAAUGACAGUACCCGGAGAAGAAGCCCCGGCUAACUUCGUGCCAGCAGCCGCGGUAAU
This 497-nucleotide ribosomal RNA is filed under the name uncultured bacterium. Its description in RNAcentral is "bacterial SSU rRNA". It matches the Rfam family "Bacterial small subunit ribosomal RNA", at positions 43 to 524 of the family's 1533-position model. The record is from RNAcentral.